CAUUUUUUCUAGUUUUGAUUUUUACACGCGGAAGAUAUUUUACUCGAAUUUUAGUCCUUUUACGAAAGAUUAACCGUCUUUUCUUUUGUUUUUGUGUAUUUUAUUAUCUAAGCGAGGUAUUGUGGGAUGGUUAUUUUAAAGAUGGCGGGCGUUUUGGAAUUUAUUCGUGGAGUGCAUGAGAAAUGUUCAAUAUACAGCUACAUGGAUUACACAAACAGAGAAAGAUAGAUUAUACCAGUUAAAUUGAGAGGUUUUAUUUGAAAAUCCUAUAUUUGAGCACCAUUCGUGGCAGUCAUGUCGAGGAAGUUAUAAAAAGGUUGAUAAGGGCUUUGUAUAUGGAAGCUAGAUGACAUUACUACUUAUCAUACACAACUAUUUGUCACAUACCGACUUGGGAUUGAAACCAAGCGACUGAACUCAAUAACACUCCUCAAUAACACUCGUCUAUGAAACCACCCAGAUGGCAAAGAAAUAAAGACUUUUUAAUUAUGUACCGAACUCAUAUAUACUAUUCAAAAAAAGUAGGGGAUAUUUGAUUUUUAAGUGUUAUUAAAGUCACCUAAUGAAACUGACGAAGAAACAAAUGACAAAAUGAAAUGAAGUUCACAUUCAUCGAUUUAUUCCAAAUGAUCAUUAGACUAAGUAAGGCACAGACUGACCAUUAUAAGGGUAAAAUGAUACCCGGGGUCAAACAGCAAAGUUACCACAGCAUCACAACCAAGUCAGUAACGGGUAAAUCCUCCUCUGUUUGCCAAACAAGCAUUGAUCCGACGUGGCAUACUCCUAAUGAGACGUCUAAGGUCAUUUUGGUCCAGAUUGUCCCAUUCCUGUUGCAACGCAGCAGCAAGUUCUUGGACAUUGGCAGGACGUUGUUGACGUUGACGUAACCUCUGUCCAAGCAUGUCCCAGACAUGCUCGAUGGGGGAGAGGUCGGGACUCAGUGCUGGCCAAGGUAAUGUGGUGAUGUUCUGUUGUUGGAGGUAACCUGUAACGAUCCUGGCCCUGUGACAUCUUGCGUUGUCAUCCUGGAAGAUGAAACGGCGGCCAUGACGUCGUGCGAACGGCACAACAUGGACUGCCAAGAUGUUGUACCGGUAGUACUGGCCUGUAACACGCCCUGCAACAACAUGUAAAGCCGUUCUUCCAGCAACAGUGAUGCCUCCCCACACCAUAACAGAACCACCCCCAAAUCGAUCAUGUCUGAUGACGUUAACGUCUUGGAAGCGCUCGUUUCGACGACGCCACACCCUCCUACGUCUGUCCAAAAAAUCAACAGUGAACCUUGACUCAUCUGAAAACAUCACAUUGCUCCAGCGUCGAUUAUCCCAGUGUUGACGAUACCUACACCAACGACGUCUUGCCUGAAUGUGAUGAUCUCUCAAACAAGGGAUCACGCGAGGACGUCGGGCGCGAAGGUGACCCCUAUGCAGUCGAUUCCGAAUCGUCUGGCCACUCACUCUCACACCAGUGUCUGUUUGAAGACGAGCGCUGAUCUGAUUUGCUGUGAUGACACGAUUUCCCAAGGCCAAGGUACGGAUAAAUCGAUCCUGGGCUUGAGUUGUCGCCCUUGGUCGACCUGAGCGUGGUCUGUCCUGUACAGAUUGUGUAUCACGGUAUCUGGACCAUAGCCUGCUUAUGACAGACUGAGAAACAUUCAUCGUCCGCGCCACAACCGCCUGUGUUGUGCCGAUCUGUAGCAUGCCAAGGGCACGUAACCUUUCAUUUUGGGUAAGCCGACGCAUAUCAAAAUUUGUUUUCUGGUCACUAAAACAAUUAAACUGAUGUUUCCACCCUGGAAUUCAAUGCCACAAUGACUGUAACAUUCAAAGUCAGAGUCGUGCAAAUCUUGGGUUGGACCCCCAUGAUGAUCCCAAGCAUCACCUGCAUUCCAUGCGGUAGCUAUUGGUGCGUUUGGGCGUCACAUGUAACUAGAAAUGUUUCUUCUGUUAGGUUCUAUAGUGACUUUUUUCGUAGCCAUUUGCAUAUUUUAGUAUUAUGCCCCCAAAAUCAAAUAUCCCCUACUUUUUUUGAAUAGUAUGUAUCUAUGGUAGCACAAAAUUAACCAGAAUGUAGGCCAAAGCUUUACUUUACAAGCAGUAGGCCUAAAAUAUUUUCCGUCUGAUCUUGUAAGAGUCAAUUGUUUAUGAAUAGUUUGCCUCAAGCAGAUAUCCUGUCACUGUGUCACAGUAUCAUAUAACAGCUCUUUGGCUUGAACUGAGUUGUAUCAGUGAGUUGAAAAUCUACUGCAGCCAGUAUACUAUGGCGGUAUAUUAGAUUCAAAAUUCUAACGAGCUUUCGUCUAACUUCUAACUUCUGUUCAUGUAAUUUUUGACUUCUAUUCAUGUAAUUUCUAACUUCUAUUCAUGUAUUUUUUUUAAAUUAAGACAAUGUAUAAUCCAACUUCUUUAUUUGUUCAGUGCAAAUUUUAAUUUUAUUCCAUCUUAUUUCUAUUAUUUAGACGAAAAACGUCUUCUUAAUUUUUACACUUCUGCCUAGCAACCAUCAUUAUGAAGUCAUUUGGUGUCGCCACUGCGUGCUCAUUUUUGGUGAUUGCGCACCUGGUCGGGACCAUUGUGUUGAUAUAAACGACACAUUCUUGAUAAAGACGAGAGUAUCCUUGUCGAAACGUUGCUUUAUAUUAAACUCAGUAAGAGUUAUCUAUAAAAUUGUACCCUGUGUUAAUGUAGACCAACAGUAUAUAAAUAUUAAUUGGCUCAAUUGUAAAAAAAAAUCAAAUAAAAUUCUCCAAAUCCUGCACUUGUCUUAAAAAAAAUGAACAAAUGCUGUUUAGCUUGUAUUUGAAAUAGAAAAUUAAAUAUAAUGGGGUUUAACAUCCUACUAUUCUACUCCGAACUUGGCUAAUACGCCAUAGAGUGUGCUACGAAGGAAACUUUGCCCGGACAGCGGCACUACGGAACGAUUAGACAGCUGUACUUGUUAGGCCCUCCAUCCUGCAUCACUGACAAGGAGGAACCACGCCGGAAAAUCUGGAUGAACUUUCUCGACCAAUGCAGGGAUCGAACACCCUACCGCUAGGCUAGUGAGCCAGCGUCUUACCGACCGUAUUUGAAAUCGUAUUUGCAAACCAUACAUAGAUAUCACGUUCAAUGUUGUUUGUGGGGUUGGAUGGCCGAAAGGUUAGCACGUGCGCGCUGUACCAUAAGGUAUGUCAUUGAGUCAACUGGUGUGGUUUCGAUUCCCCGGUUGUACGUGACAAGGAAUAGGGUCGCUUGUCCAACCUCGUGGGUUUUCUCCGGGUCCUCCGGUUUCCUCCCAUUGCUAAACACCCCUACGCGCAAGCGAAUUAUUGAAAUAAAAUUGAACCAUGUUAAUACCGAACCUACAUGUAGUUUGUGUUGAGUGGACGUUAAACCCCAUCAGACUCUCUCUCUCUCGCUCUCUCUCUCGAAGUUGUUUUCAAUUUUAGCACUCCACCAAACCAUUCAACCGGACUAAGAGCGAGUCGUUUGUAUCAACAGAAUGGUCCCGAUCAGGUGCUCAAUCGCCAAAUUGAGCGAACGGUGGCGACACCAAACGACGUCAUAAUGAUGGUUGCUAGGUAGAAAGCAAAAUAUUAAUAAGAUGAAACAAUUAAAAUUUACACUGUGAAUCCAAAUAUAAAGAGAGAGAGGAAUCCAAAACCAUUUGAAUAACAUAAACUUAGAUGGGAUCGAAGUCAUAAUAAACUUGAUACGGUGACCAACUUUCUGACAGUAUGAUACUAUAAAUAGCCCUUGCACGUGCAAUUCUCUACAAAUCUAUCAACUAUUACAGCCGUAAAAAAUGUAUUGUUGACGAUUUUGAAUAGCAGUAAAAUUAAGCUUCUUGGUUAUUACAGCAGAUUUAGAAAUUACGUUCGUUUCAUUUUUUAAAUCGCUUUAUAUUAACUGUACCGUUAAGAGCGGCAUCUUUUGGUUUAGUACAAAUAAUAUCUCUGAAUCACUCGGGUUAGACAGGAACAUGAUACUAGCAGUAGUUUCAUUUUACUUUUACAAGCUUCUUAAAACGAUUGUUGAGCUACCUAAUGUGCUUUUUUUCUAAAUUCAAUUUCUUGUUCUAGCUUUCUGUUAUGUUUCGUAAAAAAAGUAGUCUUGAUUAUCCCGACCUGUCAAUCAGACGUAGAAUGGUCGAUAGACUGGUUAAGCGAGACUAAUUUCAAAACAAGGGCACGUAACCUAUCUUUUACUCAAAAGUGUCUGGAUGUUAUGGACGACUCUUCGAACCAGUUUUCAGUCUAUUAUUUAUACAUGAUUAAUUGUCAUAGCUUAUUAAGUACAACAUGAUCGUUUAUUUAGUGACUAUAAUUGUGUGAAACUGAUUUGGUGCUUGGCAUAUAUAUAAAUAUUGUGGCGUAAUUGUCGAUAUAUAUGGAGAUAUUUAUUUAUGGUGGAUCACCCUACUGCCAGUAGUAGGAGUGGUUAAAAACAGUCAUGGGUAUCACAAAACCAUCUUUUAUAGUAUCUAACGUUUCGUAAGUCUAAAAACCUACUUCUUCAGAGAAUACAAGCUACACAAAUAAUACAGUUGCAGUACAAGGUUAGUCAUGGUAACAAGUGAUGUCAUAAUGUUAAUAUGACGUCAUAGCUUUGAUGACAUAAUAUAAAGAAU
Molecule: long non-coding RNA, 4608 nt
Organism: Patella vulgata (common limpet)
Lineage: Eukaryota; Metazoa; Mollusca; Gastropoda; Patellidae
Exons: 3
Source: RefSeq, a predicted model, not a curated record